This 713-nucleotide long non-coding RNA is filed under the name Zonotrichia albicollis (white-throated sparrow). RNAcentral describes it as "lncRNA (ENSZALG00000007354.1)". Lineage: Eukaryota; Metazoa; Chordata; Aves; Passeriformes; Passerellidae. The record is from RNAcentral.
GCCAAAGAUAAAAGGAUUCGAUACUUUGGAGGAACUUUGCUUCACGUGGUUGUAAAAUCAGCAGAGGUGCUGGAAACACCUCUCAUUUUGUGUGGAGAGGUUCAGUCCUAUACCUGAUGGGGAGGAGAAAGCAUUGACUAGACAUUUUUCCAGUCCUUGAAGCAGUUUUCUUUGAGAGAAUGACAUUUUUCAUGCCAGACAGUUGGCAUCAGCUGUCAAGUUGGGUGAACUGGACAAGACAGAGAUGGAGACAUGCAAUGCUAUAUGGUGUCAUCAGAACUAAAGAUUAUGAAAUUCUUCUGCACAGAUUUCACCCCUGAAGUGAACAGAACACACCAGGGAUUUCCCAUGGCGAUGAGAGUCCCUGUUCCAGUUCAACUGAUUCAACUGGCCAUGUUGCCUUUUAUCCAGGUUCCUGUUUUCAUCACAUGGCAGGAGAUGCAGAAAGCACUAGGAAAACUACACCGCCAGAGGGCAUCCACAGUAGAACGUGGGAGGUGGUGCUUAUCACCUGCCAGGGAAAAUGUUGCCUUCUGAGGAGGUUUGCCAUUAUGUGGAGGAGGCACAGUCCAUGUUCUGCAACUGCUGUGAGAGGUGAGAUUGAAAUGAGUUUGAUUUGUUGCUGCAUUUUAUCUAAAGCCUGCAGGUAUCUUGUCCUCAUUGUAUCUAAUACCAUAAGUAUUUAUUGUUUUUCUAUUAAAACAUUUCCAUAG